RNAcentral lists this ribosomal RNA (234 nucleotides) under uncultured bacterium. RNAcentral describes it as "partial 16S ribosomal RNA". It matches the Rfam family "Bacterial small subunit ribosomal RNA", at positions 15 to 244 of the family's 1533-position model. The record is from RNAcentral.
GAUCCUGGCUCAGGACGAACGCUGGCGGCGCGCCUAACACAUGCAAGUCGAACGAGAGAGAGGAAGCUUGCUUCCUCAAUCGAGUGGCGAACGGGUGAGUAACGCGUGAGGAACCUGCCUCAAAGAGGGGGACAACAGUUGGAAACGACUGCUAAUACCGCAUAAGCCCACAGCUCGGCAUCGAGCAGAGGGAAAAGGAGCAAUCCGCUUUGAGAUGGCCUCGCGUCCGAUUAG